GGGANCCCGAGUGCUCCUACUCNGUAGGAGCUGUCCAGUUGUCUAAAAAACAACCGUUAGCAAGAGCCGGGCAAGACCGGUGCCAGCCGCCGCGGUAACACCGGCGGCUCGAGUGGUGACCGUUAUUAUUGGGUCUAAAGGGUCCGUAGCUGGCUUAAUAAGUUCCUUGGGAAAUCUGGCGGCUUAACCGUCAGGCUGCCGAGGAAUACUAUUAGGCUCGAGACCGGGAGGGGCUAGAGGUACUUCAGGGGUAGGAGUGAAAUCCUGUAAUCCUUGAGAGACCACCAGUGGCGAAGGCGUCUAGCUAGAACGGGUCUGACAGUGAGGGACGAAAGCUAGGGUCGCGAACCGGAUUAGAUACCCGGGUAGUCCUAGCCGUAAACGAUGCGAGCUAUGUAUCAGUUUCACUGCGAGUGAAAUUGGUGCCGUANAGAANUCGUGAAGCUCGCCACCUGGGAAGUACGGCCGCAAGGCUGAAACUUNNNGGAAUUGGCGGGGGAGCACUACAAUG
RNAcentral lists this ribosomal RNA (511 nucleotides) under uncultured organism. Its description in RNAcentral is "bacterial SSU rRNA". It matches the Rfam family "Archaeal small subunit ribosomal RNA", at positions 375 to 886 of the family's 1478-position model. The record is from RNAcentral.